AAAUUAGUUGUUGUGCUAAUUUGCAUGUAAGUUGUGAUAUAGACAAAUCAUGUUUGGAUACAAGGAAUAAUGUUGAAUUUGAUUGCUUGCUGUCAAUUUAACAUUAAUAAUGCGUUACCUUAUCAAGUUUAGACUGAAAUCAAUACAAGGAAUAUUCUAUAAUUGAUGAAUUUCCCAGAUGAAAUUAGUUGUUGUGCUAAAUUGCAUGUAAGUUGUGAUAUAGACAAAUCAUGUUUGGAUACAAGGAAUAAUGUUGAAUUUGAUUGCUUGCUGUCAAUUUAACAUUAAUUAUGCGUUACCUUUCCAAGUUUAGAUUGAAAUCUUGAGACUAACUGCAAAUUGUGAUCAUGGUGUAGCAUCUAUGCGCUCGAAUCAAUUGAAAAUGGAGCUAUGAGGGCGGCACAAAGCUCCACAAAUAGCAU
This 422-nucleotide long non-coding RNA is filed under the name Manihot esculenta (cassava). RNAcentral's name for it is "long non-coding RNA (MESC_LNC004408)". The record is from RNAcentral. Lineage: Eukaryota; Viridiplantae; Streptophyta; Magnoliopsida; Malpighiales; Euphorbiaceae.